RNAcentral lists this unclassified non-coding RNA (226 nucleotides) under plant metagenome. Its description in RNAcentral is "partial contains small subunit ribosomal RNA, internal transcribed spacer 1, and 5.8S ribosomal RNA". The record is from RNAcentral.
UCUCCGUAGGUGAACCUGCGGAGGGAUCAUUACACAAAUAUGAAGGCGGGCUGGAACCUCUCGGGGUUACAGCCUUGCUGAAUUAUUCACCCUUGUCUUUUGCGUACUUCCUGUUUCCUUGGUGGGUUCGCCCACCACUAGGACAAACAUAAACCUUUUGUAAUUGCAAUCAGCGUCAGUAACAAAUUAAUAAUUACAACUUUCAACAACGGAUCUCUUGGUUCUG